Molecule: small nuclear RNA, 128 nt
Filed under: Echinops telfairi (small Madagascar hedgehog)
Lineage: Eukaryota; Metazoa; Chordata; Mammalia; Afrosoricida; Tenrecidae
Description: U1 spliceosomal RNA (ENSETEG00000024588.1)
Rfam family: U1 spliceosomal RNA
About the family: U1 is a small nuclear RNA (snRNA) component of the spliceosome (involved in pre-mRNA splicing). Its 5' end forms complementary base pairs with the 5' splice junction, thus defining the 5' donor site of an intron. There are significant differences in sequence and secondary structure between metazoan and yeast U1 snRNAs, the latter being much longer (568 nucleotides as compared to 164 nucleotides in human).
Source: RNAcentral
AUACUUACCUGGCAGGGGAGAUACCAUGAGCAUGAAGGUGGUUUUCCCAGGGUGAGGCUUAUCCAUUGCACUCCGGAUGUGCUGACCCCUGCAGUUUCCCCAAAUGUGGGAAACUCCACUGCAUUAAA